This is a long non-coding RNA of Dendronephthya gigantea, 419 nucleotides long. RefSeq lists it as uncharacterized. NCBI's taxonomy places the organism in Eukaryota, Metazoa, Cnidaria, Anthozoa, Malacalcyonacea, Nephtheidae. The transcript is spliced from 3 exons. The record is from RefSeq and is a predicted model, not a curated record.
UUGUCCGUUUUUCAAAAUGAAAUCUUUCAUCGUCGCUGCGUUGGUUGUUGUUUUUGCCCUUGUGGCCAUUGCAGAGGAGAAGCGAUUCUUUAUUAAGACAUGUAGGUCUGAUCAAGAUUGUCAAGAGGGGCAAUGCUGCGCGAAGUACUUCCUUGUUGGCAAAUGCCAAAACUACCUCCAAGAAGGAAAGUUAUGUCUUGGGGGUUUUGGGAAGCGUGGUUUGGGUUUCAAGCCAAGCUGUGGCUGUGCUGAAGGGCUAUCCUGCCAAAAGUCUGGCUUUUUUCUUCGAAAAUGUGUGGUGGAGGAAGGAUCUGGCGAGAUGUAGUUCCAAAAGUUAUACCAUCACAUAACUCGACUCGUGGACAUGCAUGCUAAAAAUAAAAUGAUCAAAUAAAGUUGAAAAGUAAUUAAAAAUGAAA